RNAcentral lists this ribosomal RNA (494 nucleotides) under uncultured bacterium. RNAcentral describes it as "partial 16S ribosomal RNA". It matches the Rfam family "Bacterial small subunit ribosomal RNA", at positions 28 to 507 of the family's 1533-position model. The record is from RNAcentral.
GACGAACGCUGGCGGCGUGCUUAACACAUGCAAGUCGAACGGUGAAGCGCCUUCCUUUUUGGUGGGUGUGGAUGAGUGGCGAACGGGUGAGUAACACGUGAGUAACCUGCCCCCUUCUUCUGGAUAACCGCAUGAAAGUGUGGCUAAUACGGGAUAUUCUGGGUCUGUCGCAUGAUGGGUCUGGGAAAGAUAUUGUUUCGGUGGGGGAUGGGCUCGCGGCCUAUCAGCUUGUUGGUGGGGUGAUGGCCUACCAAGGCGGGGACGGGUAGCCGGCCUGAGAGGGUGGACGGUCACACUGGGACUGAGACACGGCCCAGACUUCUACGGGAGGCAGCAGUGGGGAAUAUUGCACAAUGGGCGCAAGCCUGAUGCAGCGACGCCGCGUGAGGGAUGGAGGCCUUCGGGUUGUGAACCUCUUUCGCCAGUGAAGCAGGCCUGCCUCGUUUGUGGGUGGGUUGACGGUAGCUGGAGAAGAAGCGCCGGCUAACUACGUG